AGUAGAUCUAAAGCUGACCCGUGACCUGCCUCUGACACGCUGCAGACGCACAAAAACACACAAAGUUAAACUGCAGACACAAAGAAGACAAUGAAAGCAGAGCCAGCCGUUACCUUCUAGCAGAGCUGCAACUUCGUCCCAACAGGAGCUGAUCUGGGGAGCUUCAACCUGCAGCAGCUGCUUUAUAUGAAGCUCAGAGCAGAAGCAGCUGAUUGGAGCUGAUUGAUCAGAGACAGCAGCUGAUCGUCAAUGAAGCUCAGCUGCACAUUGUUGAAGCUCUGAGAUCAGUCUCACCUGCUGGAAGAUACAUUAAAAAAAAAAAAAAGAUCUCAACUGGAAAAUCCUCCUACAGUCCAACACUGAUGAAGAAAUGAGUCUGAAAACAUUCCUCUGCUGAAACACAAACAUGGAAAUCAGAGUCUGAAGGGACUGUUGAUGUUUUAUUGCUUCAACGAUGUGCAGCUGAGCUUCACUGAUGAUCAGCUGCUGUCUCUGAUCAAUCAGCUCCAAUCAGCUGCUUCUGCCCUGAGCUUCAUAUAAAGCAGCUGCUGCAGGUUGAAGCUCCAUAGAUCAGCUCCUGUUGGGACGAAGUUGCAGCUCUGCUAGAAGGUAAUGACUGGAUCUGCUCUCAUUGUCUUCUUUGUGUCUGCAGCUCAACUUAGUGUGUUUUUGUGUGUCUGCAGCACGUUGGAGGCAGGUCACGGCUCGGCUUUAGAUCUACUCACAAUCACAAUGAGGCUGUUGUGGAUUUCCUGUCUGCUGGUUGGAAGCAUCACCUGUCUGCCUGUACAAGAUUCUGGACUAGCAGCAGGCAGAGAACCAAACCCCAGAGGUUAUUAUCCGGGACCCUGGGUCAGCGGACCAACAAGUCCUGACCCGACCGUCCCCACUACAACCACCAAACCCGACCAGCAGCUCAAGUAUGUCUAUGGCGGCUAUCCAGGCGUCUAUGGCGGUUAUCCAGGCGUCUACAGCUACCAGAGCACUGACCAGACCUCUGACCAGACCCCUGAUGGGCCCUUCUUCACUGAUGUGUCCGAUCUGGAUCCAGUCUACAACUUCCACUCUCGGUCCCGCUACAGGAGAGGAAGAGCCCAUUUCUCUCAGACCCGCUACGUCCCCACUGACUCUCUGUACAGUCCAGUGUUCAGCUACCCAGGCUACCUGCCUCCACAGGGCUACCUUCCUCCAAAGGGUGACCAAGUUCAAGUCAAAGCCUACUGAACAUGUUGGAGGUGGGGCUCUGAGCUCAUGAAUUGUUCUAUGGAUUUGCUGCCACCUGACUGUUGCAGGUCUCCAUGUUCUAGAAGUUCUACUGCUGCUUCUAACUGUACAAGAUUUAAUAAAUGAUUUUCAGAACUAGC
Molecule: long non-coding RNA, 1364 nt
Organism: Amphiprion ocellaris (clown anemonefish)
Lineage: Eukaryota; Metazoa; Chordata; Actinopteri; Pomacentridae
Source: Ensembl